CAGUCGCCGCGGGAAUACGGAGGGGGCUAGCGUUGUUCGGAAUUACUGGGCGUAAAGCGUACGUAGGCGGCUUUCUAAGUCAGGGGUGAAAGCCUGGAGCUCAACUCCAGAAUUGCCCUUGAGACUGGAUCGCUUGAACGUCGGAGAGGUGAGUGGAGUUCCGAGUGUAGAGGUGAAAUUCGUAGAUAUUCGGAAGAACACCAGUGGCGAAGGCGGCUCACUGGACGACUGUUGACGCUGAGGUACGAAAGCGGGGGGAGCAAACAGGAUUAGAUACCCGCGUAGUCCCUGUCUCUUAUAC
RNAcentral lists this ribosomal RNA (301 nucleotides) under uncultured bacterium. RNAcentral describes it as "partial 16S ribosomal RNA". It matches the Rfam family "Bacterial small subunit ribosomal RNA", at positions 509 to 807 of the family's 1533-position model. The record is from RNAcentral.